AGGACGAACGCUGGCGCGGCGCUUAACGGACGAUGCAAGUCGAGCGAGAACUGGUCCUUGGGACUGGGGAAAGCGGCGAACGGGUGAGUAACACGUGGGUAAUCAACCCCUGGCACCGGGAUAGCCCGAGGAAACUCGGAUUAAUACCGGAUGGCCCAACAGCUCUUCGGGGCGGUUGGAAAAGGUAGCUUCGGCCUCCGGCCAAAGGACGAGCCCGCGGCGGAUUAGCUUGUUGGUGAGGUAACGGCCCACCAAGGCGACGAUCCGUAGCUGGUCUGAGAGGACGAUCAGCCACACUGGGACUGAGACACGGCCCAGACUCCUACGGGAGGCAGCAGUGGGGAAUCUUGCACAAUGGGCGAAAGCCUGAUGCAGCGACGCCGCGUGAGGGAAGAAGGCUUUCGGGUUGUAAACCUCUUUCAGGGGGGACGAAGCUCCUCGGGUUAAUAGCCCAGAGGGUGACGGUACCUUCAGAAGAAGCCCCGGCUAACUACGCGCCAGCAGCCGCGGUAA
Molecule: ribosomal RNA, 513 nt
Filed under: uncultured bacterium
Lineage: Bacteria
Description: SSU rRNA
Rfam family: Bacterial small subunit ribosomal RNA
Source: RNAcentral